Molecule: transfer RNA, 71 nt
Filed under: Loxodonta africana (African savanna elephant)
Lineage: Eukaryota; Metazoa; Chordata; Mammalia; Proboscidea; Elephantidae
Rfam family: tRNA
About the family: Transfer RNA (tRNA) molecules are approximately 80 nucleotides in length. Their secondary structure includes four short double-helical elements and three loops (D, anti-codon, and T loops).
Source: Rfam by way of RNAcentral
GCAGUGAUGACUCAGUGGUAGAAUUCUCGCCUGCCAUCCAAGAGACCCAGGUUUGAUCCCUGGUCAGUGCA